GACGAACGCUGGCGGCGUGCUUAACACAUGCAAGUCGAACGGAAAGGCCCUGCUUUUGUGGGGUGCUCGAGUGGCGAACGGGUGUGUAACACGUGAGUAACCUGCCCUUGACUUUGGGAUAACUUCAGGAAACGGGGGCUAAUACCGGAUAGGAGCUCCUGCUGCAUGGUGGGGGUUGGAAAGUUUCGGCGGUUGGGGAUGGACUCGCGGCUUAUCAGCUUGUUGGUGGGGUAGUGGCUUACCAAGGCUUUGACGGGUAGCCGGCCUGAGAGGGGGACCGGCCACGUUGGGACUGAGAUACGGCGCAGCCUACUACGGGCGGCAGUAGUGGGGAAUAUUGCACAAUGGGCGGAAGCCUGCUGCAGCAACGCCGCGGGCGUGAUGACGGCCUUCUGGUUGUAACCCGCUUUCGACUGUGACGAAGCGUGAGUGACGGUAAUGGGUAAAGAAGCACCGGCUAACUACGUG
RNAcentral lists this ribosomal RNA (468 nucleotides) under uncultured bacterium. RNAcentral's name for it is "partial 16S ribosomal RNA". It matches the Rfam family "Bacterial small subunit ribosomal RNA", at positions 28 to 507 of the family's 1533-position model. The record is from RNAcentral.